This 359-nucleotide transfer-messenger RNA is filed under the name pig gut metagenome. It matches the Rfam family "transfer-messenger RNA". Rfam says of the family: Bacterial tmRNA, also known as 10Sa RNA or SsrA, is named for its dual tRNA and mRNA-like properties. The record is from RNAcentral.
GGGGCAGUAAAGGUUUCGACAUGUAUUACUAAAUAUGACUGCAAGUAGUUGGAGAACUUUAAACUCACAAUUAAAAUUAAAUGACAAAGCUGAUUAUAGCUUUGCUCCAGCAUUUGCAUAGUCUAGAAAGACUUUAGGAGCUCUUCUAUUUGCUUUGCUUACGUAGCAAAUUAGAAGAUCGAUUUAGUAAGCUAUAUUAAUUUAUAUUCUUGGGAUAAGUUAAUGAAUUAAUUCUAAGAUAGUUAUCUAAUAGGUAUGUUAAGAGCCAGUUAGAUAAUGAAAUAUAAAUCUUACUAAACUUGUAGAUGUUGUAUGAUAGGAUAUAUUGGACAGGAGUUCAAUUCUCCUCUGCUCCACCA